RNAcentral lists this ribosomal RNA (2154 nucleotides) under Enterobacter sp. MGH 37. Its description in RNAcentral is "bacterial LSU rRNA". It matches the Rfam family "Bacterial large subunit ribosomal RNA", at positions 796 to 2925 of the family's 2925-position model. The record is from RNAcentral. Lineage: Bacteria; Pseudomonadati; Pseudomonadota; Gammaproteobacteria; Enterobacterales; Enterobacteriaceae.
AUUAGCGGAUGACCUGUGGCUGGGGGUGAAAGGCCAAUCAAACCGGGAGAUAGCUGGUUCUCCCCGAAAGCUAUUUAGGUAGCGCCUCGUGAACUCAUCUUCGGGGGUAGAGCACUGUUUCGGCUAGGGGGCCAUCCCGGCUUACCAACCCGAUGCAAACUACGAAUACCGAAGAAUGUUAUCACGGGAGACACACGGCGGGUGCUAACGUCCGUCGUGAAGAGGGAAACAACCCAGACCGCCAGCUAAGGUCCCAAAGUCAUGGUUAAGUGGGAAACGAUGUGGGAAGGCACAGACAGCCAGGAUGUUGGCUUAGAAGCAGCCAUCAUUUAAAGAAAGCGUAAUAGCUCACUGGUCGAGUCGGCCUGCGCGGAAGAUGUAACGGGGCUAAACCAUGCACCGAAGCUGCGGCAGCGACACUAUGUGUUGUUGGGUAGGGGAGCGUUCUGUAAGCCGUUGAAGGUGGCCUGUGAGGGUUGCUGGAGGUAUCAGAAGUGCGAAUGCUGACAUAAGUAACGAUAAAGCGGGUGAAAAGCCCGCUCGCCGGAAGACCAAGGGUUCCUGUCCAACGUUAAUCGGGGCAGGGUGAGUCGACCCCUAAGGCGAGGCCGAAAGGCGUAGUCGAUGGGAAACAGGUUAAUAUUCCUGUACUUGGUGUUACUGCGAAGGGGGGACGGAGAAGGCUAUGUUAGCCGGGCGACGGUUGUCCCGGUUUAAGCAUGUAGGCGGAGGUUCCAGGUAAAUCCGGUACCUUUUAACGCUGAGGUGUGAUGACGAGGCACUACGGUGCUGAAGUAACAAAUGCCCUGCUUCCAGGAAAAGCCUCUAAGCAUCAGGUAACACGAAAUCGUACCCCAAACCGACACAGGUGGUCAGGUAGAGAAUACCAAGGCGCUUGAGAGAACUCGGGUGAAGGAACUAGGCAAAAUGGUGCCGUAACUUCGGGAGAAGGCACGCUGAUAUGUAGGUGAAGCCCCUGCGGGUGGAGCUGAAAUCAGUCGAAGAUACCAGCUGGCUGCAACUGUUUAUUAAAAACACAGCACUGUGCAAACACGAAAGUGGACGUAUACGGUGUGACGCCUGCCCGGUGCCGGAAGGUUAAUUGAUGGGGUUAGCGGCAACGCGAAGCUCUUGAUCGAAGCCCCGGUAAACGGCGGCCGUAACUAUAACGGUCCUAAGGUAGCGAAAUUCCUUGUCGGGUAAGUUCCGACCUGCACGAAUGGCGUAAUGAUGGCCAGGCUGUCUCCACCCGAGACUCAGUGAAAUUGAACUCGCUGUGAAGAUGCAGUGUACCCGCGGCAAGACGGAAAGACCCCGUGAACCUUUACUAUAGCUUGACACUGAACACUGGUCCUUGAUGUGUAGGAUAGGUGGGAGGCUUUGAAGCGUGGACGCCAGUCUGCGUGGAGCCGCCCUUGAAAUACCACCCUUUAAUGGCUGGUGUUCUAACGUAGACCCGUGAUCCGGGUUGCGGACAGUGUCUGGUGGGUAGUUUGACUGGGGCGGUCUCCUCCCAAAGAGUAACGGAGGAGCACGAAGGUUAGCUAAUCCUGGUCGGACAUCAGGAGGUUAGUGCAAUGGCAUAAGCUAGCUUGACUGCGAGAGUGACGGCUCGAGCAGGUGCGAAAGCAGGUCAUAGUGAUCCGGUGGUUCUGAAUGGAAGGGCCAUCGCUCAACGGAUAAAAGGUACUCCGGGGAUAACAGGCUGAUACCGCCCAAGAGUUCAUAUCGACGGCGGUGUUUGGCACCUCGAUGUCGGCUCAUCACAUCCUGGGGCUGAAGUAGGUCCCAAGGGUAUGGCUGUUCGCCAUUUAAAGUGGUACGCGAGCUGGGUUUAGAACGUCGUGAGACAGUUCGGUCCCUAUCUGCCGUGGGCGCUGGAGAAUUGAGGGGGGCUGCUCCUAGUACGAGAGGACCGGAGUGGACGCAUCACUGGUGUUCGGGUUGUCAUGCCAAUGGCACUGCCCGGUAGCUAAAUGCGGAAGAGAUAAGUGCUGAAAGCAUCUAAGCACGAAACUUGCCCCGAGAUGAGUUCUCCCUGAGACUUUAAGUCUCCUGAAGGAACGUUGAAGACGACGACGUUGAUAGGUCGGGUGUGUAAGCGCAGCGAUGCGUUGAGCUAACCGAUACUAAUGAACCGUGAGGCUUAACCUU